This 199-nucleotide ribosomal RNA is filed under the name uncultured bacterium. RNAcentral describes it as "partial 16S ribosomal RNA". It matches the Rfam family "Bacterial small subunit ribosomal RNA", at positions 1294 to 1500 of the family's 1533-position model. The record is from RNAcentral.
CGGAUCGGAGUCUGNAACCCGACUCCGUGAAGCUGGAUUCGCUAGUAAUCGCGCAUCAGCCAUGGCGCGGUGAAUACGUUCCCGGGCCUUGUACACACCGCCCGUCAAGCCAUGGAAGCCGGGGGUGCCUGAAGUGUGCAGCCGCAAGGAGCGCCCUAAGGUAAAACCGGUGACUGGGGCUAAGUCGUAACAAGGUAUC